UACGAAGGGGGCUAGCGUUGUUCGGAAUUACUGGGCGUAAAGCGCGCGCAGGCGGUCCUUCAAGUCAGGGGUGAAAGCCCAGGGCUCAGCCCUGGAAUGGCCUUUGAGACUAGAGGACUUGGGUACGGGAGAGGUGAGUGGAAUUCCGAGUGUAGAGGUGAAAUUCGUAGAUAUUCGGAAGAACACCAGUGGCGAAGGCGGCUCACUGGCCCGUUACCGACGCUCAGGCGCGACAGCGUGGGGAGCAAACAGG
This 253-nucleotide ribosomal RNA is filed under the name uncultured bacterium. RNAcentral's name for it is "partial 16S ribosomal RNA". It matches the Rfam family "Bacterial small subunit ribosomal RNA", at positions 524 to 776 of the family's 1533-position model. The record is from RNAcentral.